This 253-nucleotide ribosomal RNA is filed under the name uncultured prokaryote. RNAcentral's name for it is "partial 16S ribosomal RNA". It matches the Rfam family "Bacterial small subunit ribosomal RNA", at positions 524 to 776 of the family's 1533-position model. The record is from RNAcentral.
UACAGAGGUCUCAAGCGUUGUUCGGAUUCAUUGGGCGUAAAGGGUGCGUAGGCGGCGCGGUAAGUCGGGUGUGAAAUCUUGGAGCUUAACUCCGAAACUGCACUUGAUACUGCGGUGCUCGAGGACUGGAGAGGAGAUCGGAAUUCAUGGUGUAGCAGUGAAAUGCGUAGAUAUCAUGAGGAAGACCAGUGGCGAAGGCGGAUCUCUGGACAGUUCCUGACACUGAGGCACGAAGGCCAGGGGAGCAAACGGG